RNAcentral lists this ribosomal RNA (685 nucleotides) under uncultured cyanobacterium. RNAcentral's name for it is "bacterial SSU rRNA". It matches the Rfam family "Bacterial small subunit ribosomal RNA", at positions 66 to 795 of the family's 1533-position model. The record is from RNAcentral. Lineage: Bacteria; Bacillati; Cyanobacteriota.
ACGAAGUCUUCGGACUGAGUGGCGGACGGGUGAGUAACACGUGAGAACCUGCCUUAAGGUCGGGGAUAACAGUUGGAAACGACUGCUAAUACCGGAUGUGCCUACGGGUGAAAGAUUUAUUGCCUAAAGAUGGGCUCGCGUCUGAUUAGCUAGUUGGAGUGGUAAUGGCACACCAAGGCGACGAUCAGUAGCUGGUCUGAGAGGAUGAUCAGCCACACUGGGACUGAGACACGGCCCAGACUCCUACGGGAGGCAGCAGUGGGGAAUUUUCCGCAAUGGGCGAAAGCCUGACGGAGCAAGACCGCGUGAGGGAGGAAGGCUCUUGGGUUGUAAACCUCUUUUGUCAGGGAAGAACACAAUGACGGUACCUGACGAAUCAGCAUCGGCUAACUCCGUGCCAGCAGCCGCGGUAAUACGGAGGAUGCAAGCGUUAUCCGGAAUUAUUGGGCGUAAAGCGUCCGCAGGUGGUUGUACAAGUCUGCUGUCAAAGCGCGGAGCUUAACUCCGUAAAGGCGGUGGAAACUGUGCGACUAGAGUUCGGUAGGGGUCGCGGGAAUUCCCAGUGUAGCGGUGAAAUGCGUAGAUAUUGGGAAGAACACCGGUGGCGAAAGCGCGCGACUGGACCGAGACUGACACUCAUGGACGAAAGCUAGGGGAGCGAAAGGGAUUAGAUACCCCUGUAGUC